GGCUUUGGCUGUGAAAGGAGGAGGGUGUGCGCCGCCGCUCUCUCUCUCCCUCCCUUUCUCUCGCCCCUUAUCACGUGUUUUCAAGUAAAACGGUAAAAAAAAAAAAUGAAUGUGGAAAAAAGAAAAUCGGGAGUGGAAACCCAUAAUUUUAAGAGUGAAUAAGUAAAUAUAAAGGAAAAUAACGUAGAGAAUAAGAGUAAGUUUUAACAAGAAGAAUGCAAAAGAGGUAAAACGUGUUAGCAAAUACAAAAGAACAGAAUUUUAAGGAAGAAGGAAAAGUGAAUUGUAUAUGAAAAAAAAAACUUUGAAUGAAAUAACGUAGAGAAUAAGAGUAAAUUUUAACUAGAAGAAUGCAAAAGAG
This is a long non-coding RNA of Eriocheir sinensis (Chinese mitten crab), 361 nucleotides long. RefSeq lists it as uncharacterized. Lineage: Eukaryota; Metazoa; Arthropoda; Malacostraca; Decapoda; Varunidae. The transcript is spliced from 3 exons. The record is from RefSeq and is a predicted model, not a curated record.